RNAcentral lists this transfer RNA (85 nucleotides) under Candidatus Walczuchella monophlebidarum. RNAcentral describes it as "tRNA-Ser (TGA) (tRNA-Ser-TGA-1-1)". It matches the Rfam family "tRNA". From Rfam's summary of the family: Transfer RNA (tRNA) molecules are approximately 80 nucleotides in length. Their secondary structure includes four short double-helical elements and three loops (D, anti-codon, and T loops). Lineage: Bacteria; Pseudomonadati; Bacteroidota; Flavobacteriia; Flavobacteriales. The record is from Rfam by way of RNAcentral.
GGAGAGGUGGCAGAGUGGUUAAUUGCGGUGGUCUUGAAAACCAUUGAGAGUAACAUCUCCGGGGGUUCGAAUCCCUCCUUCUCCG